CCCUUAGAUGUUCUGGGCCGCACGCGCGCUACACUGAUGCAUUCAGCGAGUCCAUCCUUGCCCGAAAGGGCUGGGUAAUCUUUUGAAAUUGCAUCGUGAUGGGGCUUGCGGGUUGCAACUACCCGCACCAACGAGGAAUUCCUAGUAAACGCAAGUCAACAACUUGCAUUGAUUACGUCCCUGCCCUUUGUACACACCGCCCGUCGCUCCUACCGAUUGAGUGCUCCGGUGAACAAUUUGGACUGCUUUGAUUCGAUUAGAAUUUGAAGCGGAAAGUUUAGUGAACCCUAUCACUUAGAGGAAGGAGAAGUCGUAACA
This 318-nucleotide ribosomal RNA is filed under the name uncultured eukaryote. RNAcentral describes it as "partial 18S ribosomal RNA". It matches the Rfam family "Eukaryotic small subunit ribosomal RNA", at positions 1470 to 1796 of the family's 1831-position model. The record is from RNAcentral.